This 402-nucleotide long non-coding RNA is filed under the name Homo sapiens (human). RNAcentral describes it as "HSALNT0255052". Lineage: Eukaryota; Metazoa; Chordata; Mammalia; Primates; Hominidae. The record is from RNAcentral.
GUGACCUGGAGGUCAGAGGCAGAGGGACAUGGGGUCUGUUUCUCGAAGGAGGUGGCCCUGCUGUGGGCCUUUGUGGCUGGGUGGGAUUCAGACUAUGGGCGAGUGGGGAGAAGACGAGGCAUGGGUGGAGUCUGAGAGCAAAUCCCAGGCCACUGCCCAUGCCCGUGCCUCCUCUGCUGGGGACAGGCCACCCUUCCUCUGUUCUGCCUCCGCUUUCCUCCCCAGGUUCAGAUUAAGUAUUCAGGUGCCUGGCCUCAUGCUGCACUUUGUUUAUUUAUUAAUUUUUUAAAUGGAGUCUCGCUCUGUUACCCAGGCUGGAGUGCAGUGGCACAAUCUCCGCUUACUGCAACCUCUGCCUCUGGGGUUCAAGCGAUUCUCCUGCUUCAGCUUCCUGAGUAGCUG